Molecule: ribosomal RNA, 1155 nt
Filed under: Enterobacter cloacae
Lineage: Bacteria; Pseudomonadati; Pseudomonadota; Gammaproteobacteria; Enterobacterales; Enterobacteriaceae
Description: bacterial SSU rRNA
Rfam family: Bacterial small subunit ribosomal RNA
Source: RNAcentral
CCAAGGGAGGGCAGGCAAGUGGGGGAAUAUGCACAAUCGGCGCAAGGCCUCGAUUGCAGCAUGCCGCGAUGUAAUGAAAGAAGGGCUUCGGGUUGUAAAGUACUUUUCCAGCGGGGGAGGAAGGUGUUGUGGUUAUAACCCGCCAGGCAAUUGACGUUACCCGCAGAAGAAGCACCCGGCUAACUCCGUGCCAGCAGCCCGCGGUAAUACGGAGGGUGCAAGCGUUAAUCGGAAUUACUGGGCGUAAAGCGCACGCAGGCGGUCUGUCAAGUCGGAUGUGAAAUCCCCGGGCUCAACCUGGGAACUGCAUUCGAAACUGGCAGGCUGGAGUCUUGUAGAGGGGGGUAGAAUUCCAGGUGUAGCGGUGAAAUGCGUAGAGAUCUGGAGGAAUACCGGUGGCGAAGGCGGCCCCCUGGACAAAGACUGACGCUCAGGUGCGAAAGCGUGGGGAGCAAACAGGAUUAGAUACCCUGGUAGUCCACGCCGUAAACGAUGUCGAUUUGGAGGUUGUGCCCUUGAGGCGUGGCUUCCGGAGCUAACGCGUUAAAUCGACCGCCUGGGGAGUACGGCCGCAAGGUUAAAACUCAAAUGAAUUGACGGGGGCCCGCACAAGCGGUGGAGCAUGUGGUUUAAUUCGAUGCAACGCGAAGAACCUUACCUGGUCUUGACAUCCACAGAACUUUCCAGAGAUGGAUUGGUGCCUUCGGGAACUGUGAGACAGGUGCUGCAUGGCUGUCGUCAGCUCGUGUUGUGAAAUGUUGGGUUAAGUCCCGCAACGAGCGCAACCCUUAUCCUUUGUUGCCAGCGGUCCGGCCGGGAACUCAAAGGAGACUGCCAGUGAUAAACUGGAGGAAGGUGGGGAUGACGUCAAGUCAUCAUGGCCCUUACGACCAGGGCUACACACGUGCUACAAUGGCGCAUACAAAGAGAAGCGACCUCGCGAGAGCAAGCGGACCUCAUAAAGUGCGUCGUAGUCCGGAUUGGAGUCUGCAACUCGACUCCAUGAAGUCGGAAUCGCUAGUAAUCGUAGAUCAGAAUGCUACGGUGAAUACGUUCCCGGGCCUUGUACACACCGCCCGUCGACACCAUGGGAGUGGGUUGCAAAAGAAGUAGGUAGCUUAACCUUCCAGAGGGCGCUUACCAGAUGUGAUUUCC